This 71-nucleotide transfer RNA is filed under the name Diaphorina citri (Asian citrus psyllid). It matches the Rfam family "tRNA". Rfam says of the family: Transfer RNA (tRNA) molecules are approximately 80 nucleotides in length. Their secondary structure includes four short double-helical elements and three loops (D, anti-codon, and T loops). The record is from Rfam by way of RNAcentral. Lineage: Eukaryota; Metazoa; Arthropoda; Insecta; Hemiptera; Psyllidae.
GCUCCGAUGGCGUAGUGAUCAGUGCGCUCGCCUUGCACGCGGAAGACUCGGGUUCAAUUCCCGGUGGAGUC